This 253-nucleotide ribosomal RNA is filed under the name uncultured bacterium. Its description in RNAcentral is "partial 16S ribosomal RNA". It matches the Rfam family "Bacterial small subunit ribosomal RNA", at positions 524 to 776 of the family's 1533-position model. The record is from RNAcentral.
UACGUAGGGGGCAAGCGUUGUCCGGAUUUAUUGGGCGUAAAGAGCGUGUAGGCGGCUAUGCAGGUCCGCUGUGAAAACUCGAGGCUCAACCUCGAGACGUCGGUGGAAACCGCAUGGCUAGAGUCCGGAAGAGGAGAGUGGAAUUCCCGGUGUAGCGGUGAAAUGCGCAGAUAUCGGGAAGAACACCCGUGGCGAAGGCGGCUCUCUGGGACGGUACUGACACUGAGACGCGAAAGCGUGGGGAGCGAACAGG